CCCUUAGAUGUUCUGGGCCGCACGCGUGCUACACUGAUGCAUUCAACGAGUCUAAAACCUGGUCUGAUAGGGCUGGGUAAUCUUUUGAAAGUGCAUCGUGAUUGGGAUAGAUGAUUGCAAUUCUUCAUCUUCAACGAGGAAUGCCUAGUAAACGCAAGUCAUCAGCUUGCAUUGAUUACGUCCCUGCCCUUUGCACACACCGCCCGUCGCUACGACCGACUGUUUCUGUCAAUGAAGCUGUAGGAUUCGGCCCUGGCCGGGGCGCAAGCCCUGGCUACGUGGUUGGAGAUCAUAGUUUAGUUGAUACGAAAUACAGGACGUAAAAGUCGUAACA
RNAcentral lists this ribosomal RNA (334 nucleotides) under uncultured eukaryote. Its description in RNAcentral is "partial 18S ribosomal RNA". It matches the Rfam family "Eukaryotic small subunit ribosomal RNA", at positions 1470 to 1796 of the family's 1831-position model. The record is from RNAcentral.